UGCGGCGUGCUAUACAUGCAGUCGAGCGAAUGGAUUAAGAGCUUGCUCUUAUGAAGUUAGCGGCGGACGGGUGAGUAACACGUGGGUAACCUGCCCAUAAGACUGGGAUAACUCCGGGAAACCGGGGCUAAUACCGGAUAAUAUUUUGAACUGCAUAGUUCGAAAUUGAAAGGCGGCUUCGGCUGUCACUUAUGGAUGGACCCGCGUCGCAUUAGCUAGUUGGUGAGGUAACGGCUCACCAAGGCAACGAUGCGUAGCCGACCUGAGAGGGUGAUCGGCCACACUGGGACUGAGACACGGCCCAGACUCCUACGGGAGGCAGCAGUAGGGAAUCUUCCGCAAUGGACGAAAGUCUGACGGAGCAACGCCGCGUGAGUGAUGAAGGCUUUCGGGUCGUAAAACUCUGUUGUUAGGGAAGAACAAGUGCUAGUUGAAUAAGCUGGCACCUUGACGGUACCUAACCAGAAAGCCACGGCUAACUACGUGCCAGCAGCCGCGGUAAUACGUAGGUGGCAAGCGUUAUCCGGAAUUAUUGGGCGUAAAGCGCGCGCAGGUGGUUUCUUAAGUCUGAUGUGAAAGCCCACGGCUCAACCGUGGAGGGUCAUUGGAAACUGGGAGACUUGAGUGCAGAAGAGGAAAGUGGAAUUCCAUGUGUAGCGGUGAAAUGCGUAGAGAUAUGGAGGAACACCAGUGGCGAAGGCGACUUUCUGGUCUGUAACUGACACUGAGGCGCGAAAGCUUGGGGAGCAAACCGGAUUAGAUACCCUGGUAGUCCACGCCGUAAACGAUGAGUGCUAAGUGUUAGAGGGUUUCCGCCCUUUAGUGCUGAAGUUAACGCAUUAAGCACUCCGCCUGGGGAGUACGGCCGCAAGGCUGAAACUCAAAGGAAUUGACGGGGGCCCGCACAAGCGGUGGAGCAUGUGGUUUAAUUCGAAGCAACGCGAAGAACCUUACCAGGUCUUGACAUCCUCUGAAAACUCUAGAGAUAGAGCUUCUCCUUCGGGAGCAGAGUGACAGGUGGUGCAUGGUUGUCGUCAGCUCGUGUCGUGAGAUGUUGGGUUAAGUCCCGCAACGAGCGCAACCCUUGAUCUUAGUUGCCAUCAUUAAGUUGGGCACUCUAAGGUGACUGCCGGUGACAAACCGGAGGAAGGUGGGGAUGACGUCAAAUCAUCAUGCCCCUUAUGACCUGGGCUACACACGUGCUACAAUGGACGGUACAAAGAGCUGCAAGACCGCGAGGUGGAGCUAAUCUCAUAAAACCGUUCUCAGUUCGGAUUGUAGGCUGCAACUCGCCUACAUGAAGCUGGAAUCGCUAGUAAUCGCGGAUCAGCAUGACGCGAU
This 1341-nucleotide ribosomal RNA is filed under the name Bacillus sp. SGE143(2010). RNAcentral describes it as "bacterial SSU rRNA". It matches the Rfam family "Bacterial small subunit ribosomal RNA", at positions 38 to 1363 of the family's 1533-position model. The record is from RNAcentral. Lineage: Bacteria; Bacillati; Bacillota; Bacilli; Caryophanales; Bacillaceae.